Molecule: ribosomal RNA, 1372 nt
Filed under: uncultured bacterium
Lineage: Bacteria
Description: bacterial SSU rRNA
Rfam family: Bacterial small subunit ribosomal RNA
Source: RNAcentral
GAUGAACGCUGGCGGCGUGCCUAAUACAUGCAAGUCGAGCGAACAGACAAGGAGCUUGCUCCUUUGACGUUAGCGGCGGACGGGUGAGUAACACGUGGGUAACCUACCUAUAAGACUGGGAUAACUUCGGGAAACCGGAGCUAAUACCGGAUAAUAUUUCGAACCGCAUGGUUCGAUAGUGAAAGAUGGUUUUGCUAUCACUUAUAGAUGGACCCGCGCCGUAUUAGCUAGUUGGUAAGGUAACGGCUUACCAAGGCGACGAUACGUAGCCGACCUGAGAGGGUGAUCGGCCACACUGGAACUGAGACACGGUCCAGACUCCUACGGGAGGCAGCAGUAGGGAAUCUUCCGCAAUGGGCGAAAGCCUGACGGAGCAACGCCGCGUGAGUGAUGAAGGUCUUCGGAUCGUAAAACUCUGUUAUUAGGGAAGAACAUACGUGUAAGUAACUAUGCACGUCUUGACGGUACCUAAUCAGAAAGCCACGGCUAACUACGUGCCAGCAGCCGCGGUAAUACGUAGGUGGCAAGCGUUAUCCGGAAUUAUUGGGCGUAAAGCGCGCGUAGGCGGUUUUUUAAGUCCGAUGUGAAAGCCCACGGCUCAACCGUGGAGGGUCAUUGGAAACUGUAAAACUUGAGUGCAGAAGAGGAAAGUGGAAUUCCAUGUGUAGCGGUGAAAUGCGCAGAGAUAUGGAGGAACACCAGUGGCGAAGGCGACUUUCUGGUCUGUAACUGACGCUGAUGUGCGAAAGCGUGGGGAUCAAACAGGAUUAGAUACCCUGGUAGUCCACGCCGUAAACGAUGAGUGCUAAGUGUUAGGGGGUUUCCGCCCCUUAGUGCUGCAGCUAACGCAUUAAGCACUCCGCCUGGGGAGUACGACCGCAAGGUUGAAACUCAAAGGAAUUGACGGGGACCCGCACAAGCGGUGGAGCAUGUGGUUUAAUUCGAAGCAACGCGAAGAACCUUACCAAAUCUUGACAUCCUUUGACAACUCUAGAGAUAGAGCCUUCCCCUUCGGGGGACAAAGUGACAGGUGGUGCAUGGUUGUCGUCAGCUUGUGUCGUGAGAUGUUGGGUUAAGUCCCGCAGCGAGCGCAACCCUUAAGCUUAGUUGCCAUCAUUAAGUUGGGCACUCUAAGUUGACUGCCGGUGACAAACCGGAGGAAGGUGGGGAUGACGUCAAAUCAUCAUGCCCCUUAUGAUUUGGGCUACACACGUGCUACAAUGGACAAUACAAAGGGCAGCGAAACCGCGAGGUCAAGCAAAUCCCAUAAAGUUGUUCUCAGUUCGGAUUGUAGUCUGCAACUCGACUACAUGAAGCUGGAAUCGCUAGUAAUCGUAGAUCAGCAUGCUACGGUGAAUACGUUCCCGGGUCU